RNAcentral lists this ribosomal RNA (225 nucleotides) under uncultured bacterium. RNAcentral describes it as "partial 16S ribosomal RNA". It matches the Rfam family "Bacterial small subunit ribosomal RNA", at positions 109 to 334 of the family's 1533-position model. The record is from RNAcentral.
AGGAACAUGUACGCAACCUUCCUUUAACUGGAGGAUAGCCCCUCGAAAGAGGGAUUAAUACUCCGUAACAUAAUGAAGUGGCAUCACUUUAUUAUUAUAGCUCCGGCGGUUAAAGAUGGGCGUGCAACUGAUUAGAUAGUUGGCGGGGUAACGGCCCACCAAGUCUGCGAUCAGUAACUGGUGUGAGAGCACGACCAGUCACACGGGCACUGAGACACGGGCCCG